GUGCCAGCCGCCGCGGUAAUACGGAGGGUGCAAGCGUUGUCCGGAAUCACUGGGCGUAAAGGGUGCGCAGGCGGGGCAGCAAGUCGGAGGUGAAAGCCCAUGGCUCAACCAUGGAAGUGCCUUCGAAACUGUUGCUCUUGAGUCCGGGAGAGGGAGGCAGAAUUCCCCGUGUAGCGGUGAAAUGCGUAGAUAUGGGGAGGAAUACCGGUGGCGAAGGCGGCCUCCUGGCCCGGUACUGACGCUGAGGUGCGAAAGCGGGGGCAGCGAACGGGAUUAGAUACCCGGGUAGUCC
RNAcentral lists this ribosomal RNA (292 nucleotides) under uncultured bacterium. RNAcentral describes it as "partial 16S ribosomal RNA". It matches the Rfam family "Bacterial small subunit ribosomal RNA", at positions 505 to 796 of the family's 1533-position model. The record is from RNAcentral.